GAUGAACGCUGGCGGCGUGCUUAACACAUGCAAGUCGAACGGAAAGGCCGAAGCUUGCUUCGGUACUCGAGUGGCGAACGGGUGAGUAACACGUGGGUGAUCUGCCCUGUACUUCGGGAUAAGCUUGGGAAACUGGGUCUAAUACCGGAUAUGACAAUCUCUUGGAUGGGGUUGUGGAAAGCUUUUGCGGUAUGGGAUGAGCUCGCGGCCUAUCAGCUUGUUGGUGGGGUAAUGCCUACCAAGGCGUCGACGGGUAGCCGGCCUGAGAGGGUGUACGGCCACAUUGGGACUGAGAUACGGCCCAGACUCCUACGGGAGGCAGCAGUGGGGAAUAUUGCACAAUGGGCGCAAGCCUGAUGCAGCGACGCCGCGUGGGGGAUGACGGCCUUCGGGUUGUAAACUCCUUUCGCAACCGACGAAGCUUUUGUGACGGUAGGUUGAGAAGAAGCACCGGCUAACUACGUG
This 465-nucleotide ribosomal RNA is filed under the name uncultured bacterium. RNAcentral's name for it is "partial 16S ribosomal RNA". It matches the Rfam family "Bacterial small subunit ribosomal RNA", at positions 28 to 507 of the family's 1533-position model. The record is from RNAcentral.